CCUUGUCCACAACCACUUUUAAAUGCUGGCUGGCCUCUCCCAACCUUCUACCAUGCUCUGGGAGCACUUCUCCUGCUAUUACAGUAUGCAUGUGUUCAGGAAAUGAAAAUGAAUUAAAAGAGCCUGAAAGAAACAUAAUUUAGAAGGAAACUCAAGAUUUUCUGUGCCCUCCACAAAGGAGAAAUGACAGGAAAGGGUAACAUCAGUGAAAGGAUGGGCCCGCAACUCUUCUAUAGACACUGAGGAUGUCAAAGAAGAAAUGAAGUCAACAAAGUAUUUGUAAAGACCAGUGAACACUGCAUCAGAAAAAUGAAAAAAAAAAGAAGAAAUUCAUACACUACUAAAGAUGAGCAUCAACUAUGCCAAAGCAGAAAAUUCCAGCAGUGCAGCCCGGUAUUGUCUCCAGGGCUUGUACCCUUUUCACCUCUCGUCUACGGAAAAACUAUGAGAAGACUAUGAACUAGCUUGAUAUAGAGGCACAUGUGUAAAGGGACCACAUACAGUUGGAGUAGAUACCUAACUACUUCAGUCACAUUAUCCAACAUUUGACUCUCCAGUUCACAAUCAAGGCCAACACUUUCUCGCAAAUAGUCUAUUUAUUGAAAGAGCUUACCUGUAUCACAGCUGGUCCCUCUGAUCAGCCAGGUGAGAAGCAAGUGAGGUGGAGUCAGCAUGUCUUUCAGAGGGAUGGUUGUGUGGCAGUCCCCAGAGAGAAGGCUUGGUGAUUCUGUUAUUACCAAGCUGUUGCAGCAAAAGCUCAGCAAAGAACCUUGUGAGAUUUAAUAUUUCUAAUGGCUAUAUUUGUUGGCUAAAAAGUGCUUGCAAGGCAUUAUGGCUGAAGAGCGGAACUAGUAGAACACCAUAAUGUCCAAUAUUGGAGAAUCAUUCUACACGCAGUUUUUAAAAGUCACAUUUUUGGAGAAUAAUAACACGGAAAAUGCUCACUAUACAAUUUUUAGUGAGAAAAAUCAAAAUACAAAACUUAAUGUAUGUUUAUACACAUGCAUAAUUUCAACUUUGUGGGAAAAAAUAUGUGCACAUAGAAAAGGGAGGAAAUACACCAAAACGUCAGCAGUGGCUACUUCUGAAUGGUCAGAUUA
Molecule: long non-coding RNA, 1100 nt
Organism: Lagenorhynchus albirostris (white-beaked dolphin)
Lineage: Eukaryota; Metazoa; Chordata; Mammalia; Artiodactyla; Delphinidae
Exons: 3
Source: RefSeq, a predicted model, not a curated record